UUUUUUUUUCGAAUAAAUCGA
Molecule: non-coding RNA, 21 nt
Filed under: Caenorhabditis elegans
Lineage: Eukaryota; Metazoa; Nematoda; Chromadorea; Rhabditida; Rhabditidae
Source: RNAcentral